GCCUCCCCUGGGGAGACGCUGACACUGUCAGGCUGGAACCUUCUAUUCCGGCCCAGCCUCUUCCCCCCUUUGCUGCGCCCAGGAGGGAAUUCAGAAGGGACUUUCCAGAGAGCGUUUGCGGGCAGGGUGUGGAAAUGGAAUAAAAGCAUAUGCAAAUCGGCCUUCGAGUGCUUUCCUCCACCCCAUCCAGCAAGGGCCUGUCUCCAGAAGGAUGCCCUUGCUCCAGACACUUGACAGCUCUCCUUCCUUGGAUGGGACCGCGGGCUGAGUGCGGUGCUACAGAAGAGUGAUUCCAUCUGGUUAACAGGCCUUUAAGUGACAAUCCAGCUCCGAGGAGCCGCAGAGAGGCCCAGAAAUGAGUUCCAAAGCGAGCCGAUAAUGACGGCGGGAAGAUGGAGAUCUGGGGGCGCGGACGGACCUGGAC
Molecule: long non-coding RNA, 424 nt
Organism: Molossus molossus (Pallas's mastiff bat)
Lineage: Eukaryota; Metazoa; Chordata; Mammalia; Chiroptera; Molossidae
Exons: 3
Source: RefSeq, a predicted model, not a curated record